This 789-nucleotide ribosomal RNA is filed under the name uncultured Peptoniphilus sp. Its description in RNAcentral is "SSU rRNA". It matches the Rfam family "Bacterial small subunit ribosomal RNA", at positions 54 to 862 of the family's 1533-position model. The record is from RNAcentral. Lineage: Bacteria; Bacillati; Bacillota; Tissierellia; Tissierellales; Peptoniphilaceae.
CGAUGAAACUUUAACAGAACCCUUCGGGGCGAAGAUAAAGUGGAUUAGCGGCGGACGGGUGAGUAACACGUGAGUAACCUGCCUUAGACAUUGGGAUAGCCUCGGGAAACCGGGAUUAAUACCAAAUAAAAUCAUAAUGACACAUGUCGUAACGAUCAAAACUCCGGUGGUCUAAGAUGGACUCGCGUCCCAUUAGCUAGUUGGUAGAGUAAAAGCCUACCAAGGCGACGAUGGGUAGCCGGCCUGAGAGGGUGAACGGCCACAUUGGAACUGAGAAACGGUCCAAACUCCUACGGGAGGCAGCAGUGGGGAAUAUUGCACAAUGGAGGGAACUCUGAUGCAGCGACGCCGCGUGAACGAAGAAGGCUUUCGAGUCGUAAAGUUCUUUUAUAUGGGAAGAUAAUGACGGUACCAUAAGAAAAAGCCCCGGCUAACUACGUGCCAGCAGCCGCGGUAAUACGUAGGGGGCUAGCGUUGUCCGGAAUCACUGGGCGUAAAGGGUUCGCAGGCGGAAAUGCAAGUCAGAUGUAAAAGGCAGUAGCUUAACUACUGUAAGCAUUUGAAACUGCAUAUCUUGAGAAGAGUAGAGGUAAGUGGAAUUUUUAGUGUAGCGGUGAAAUGCGUAGAUAUUAAAAAGAAUACCGGUGGCGAAGGCGACUUACUGGGCUCAUUCUGACGCUGAGGAACGAAAGCGUGGGUAGCAAACAGGAUUAGAUACCCUGGUAGUCCACGCUGUAAACGAUGAGUGCUAGGUGUCGGCGAAUGUCGGUGCCGCCAGUUAACACAAUA